CCUACGGGAGGCAGCAGUGAGGAAUAUUGGUCAAUGGCCGAGAGGCUGAACCAGCCAAGUCGCGUGAGGGAAGACGGCCCUACGGGUUGUAAACCUCUUUUGUCGGGGAGCAAAGAGAGUCACGUGUGACUCAUUGAGAGUACCCGAAGAAAAAGCAUCGGCUAACUCCGUGCCAGCAGCCGCGGUAAUACGGAGGAUGCGAGCGUUAUCCGGAUUUAUUGGGUUUAAAGGGUGCGCAGGCGGAGGUGCAAGUCAGCGGUCAAAUUGCGGGGCUCACCCCCCUACUGCCGUUGAAACUGCAUCCC
Molecule: ribosomal RNA, 305 nt
Filed under: uncultured bacterium
Lineage: Bacteria
Description: bacterial SSU rRNA
Rfam family: Bacterial small subunit ribosomal RNA
Source: RNAcentral